GAAAUGCGAUAAGUAAUGUGAAUUGCAGAAUUCAGUGAAUCAUCGAAUCUUUGAACGCACCUUGCACCCUUUGGCAUUCCGAAGGGUAUGCUCGUUUGAGUGUCAUUGUACUCUCACACUCCCAAUGCUUUUGGAUUGGGAGCGGUGGACUUGGGUGUUGCUGCUUUACAGUGGCUCGCCUCAAAUGGAGUAGUGCAACUCUCGGUUGGACAUAGUACGGCGUGAUAAGUGUCUUCGCCGGCGCCUCACUAGAGGGUGGCUGAUCGGGAGCUCUGUGCUUCAAACCGUCUUCGGACAAUCUUUGACAACUUGACCUCAAAUCGAGUAGGACUACCCGCUGAACUUAAGCAUAUCAAUAAGCGGAGGAAAAGAAACU
RNAcentral lists this ribosomal RNA (376 nucleotides) under uncultured Sebacinaceae. RNAcentral's name for it is "eukaryotic LSU rRNA". The stretch from base 1 to 105 matches the Rfam family "5.8S ribosomal RNA", at positions 50 to 154 of the family's 154-position model. The record is from RNAcentral. Lineage: Eukaryota; Fungi; Basidiomycota; Agaricomycetes; Sebacinales; Sebacinaceae.